GACGAACGCUGGCGGCGUGCUUAACACAUGCAAGUCGAACGGAAAGGCCCUGCUUUUGUGGGGUGCUCGAGUGGCGAACGGGUGAGUAACACGUGAGUAACCUGCCCUUGACUUUGGGAUAACUUCAGGAAACUGGGGCUAAUACCGGAUAGGAGCUCCUGCUGCAUGGUGGGGGUUGGAAAGUUUCGGCGGUUGGGGAUGGACUCGCGGCUUAUCAGCUUGUUGGUGGGGUAGUGGCUUACCAAGGCUUUGACGGGUAGCCGGCCUGAGAGGGUGACCGGCCACAUUGGGACUGAGAUACGGCCCAGACUCCUACGGGAGGCAGCAGUGGGGAAUAUUGCACAAUGGGCGGAAGCCUGAUGCAGCAACGCCGCGUGCGGGAUGACGGCCUUCGGGGUGUAAACCGCCUUCGCCUGUGACGAAGCGUGAGUGACGGUAAUGGGUAAAGAAGCACCGGCUAACUACGUG
Molecule: ribosomal RNA, 468 nt
Filed under: uncultured bacterium
Lineage: Bacteria
Description: partial 16S ribosomal RNA
Rfam family: Bacterial small subunit ribosomal RNA
Source: RNAcentral